AUUGAACGCUGGCGGCAGGCCUAACACAUGCAAGUCGAGCGGUAGCACAGGAGAGCUUGCUCUCUGGGUGACGAGCGGCGGACGGGUGAGUAAUGUCUGGGAAACUGCCUGAUGGAGGGGGAUAACUACUGGAAACGGUAGCUAAUACCGCAUAACGUCUUCGGACCAAAGUGGGGGACCUUCGGGCCUCACGCCAUCAGAUGUGCCCAGAUGGGAUUAGCUAGUAGGUGGGGUAAUGGCUCACCUAGGCGACGAUCCCUAGCUGGUCUGAGAGGAUGACCAGCCACACUGGAACUGAGACACGGUCCAGACUCCUACGGGAGGCAGCAGUGGGGAAUAUUGCACAAUGGGCGCAAGCCUGAUGCAGCCAUGCCGCGUGUGUGAAGAAGGCCUUCGGGUUGUAAAGCACUUUCAGCGAGGAGGAAGGGUAGUGUGUUAAUAGCACAUUGCAUUGACGUUACUCGCAGAAGAACCACCGGCUAACUCCGUGCCAGCACCCGCGGUAAUACAGACGGUGCAAGCGUUAAUCGGAAUUACUGGGCGUAAAGCGCACACGGGCGGUUUGUCAAGUGACAUGUGAAAUCCCCCCGCUAAACGUGGGAACUGCAUUUGACACUGGCAAGCUUUAUUCUUGUAGAGGGGGGUAGAAUUCCAAGUGUAGCGAUGAAAUGCGUACAGAUCUGGAAGAGUACCGGUGCUGAAGUCGGCCCCCUGGACAUACACGUGAUUCUCACGGGCGAAAGCGUGCGGAGCGAACAGGAUUAGAUAUCUUAGGACUAAUUGGCGAGUACACAUGCGCAGCGCCCGGGGAUCUACUAGUGUAGCGCGGUCCCACCUGUGUUCUCCA
This 847-nucleotide ribosomal RNA is filed under the name uncultured Enterobacteriaceae bacterium. RNAcentral describes it as "bacterial SSU rRNA". It matches the Rfam family "Bacterial small subunit ribosomal RNA", at positions 28 to 820 of the family's 1533-position model. The record is from RNAcentral. Lineage: Bacteria; Pseudomonadati; Pseudomonadota; Gammaproteobacteria; Enterobacterales; Enterobacteriaceae.